RNAcentral lists this ribosomal RNA (863 nucleotides) under Pezicula rhizophila. RNAcentral describes it as "eukaryotic LSU rRNA". It matches the Rfam family "Eukaryotic large subunit ribosomal RNA", at positions 76 to 956 of the family's 3401-position model. Lineage: Eukaryota; Fungi; Ascomycota; Leotiomycetes; Helotiales; Dermateaceae. The record is from RNAcentral.
UACCUCAGUAACGGCGAGUGAAGCGGUAACAGCUCAAAUUUGAAAUCUGGGUCUUUCAGGCUCCGAGUUGUAAUUUGUAGAAGAUGCUUUGGGUGCGGCCCCGGUCUAAGUUCCUUGGAACAGGACGUCAUAGAGGGUGAGAAUCCCGUAUGUGAUCGGUGGCCUGCGCCCGUGUAAAGCUCUUUCGACGAGUCGGGUUGUUUGGGAAUGCAGCUCUAAAUGGGUGGUAAAUUUCAUCUAAAGCUAAAUACUGGCCAGAGACCGAUAGCGCACAAGUAGAGUGAUCGAAAGAUGAAAAGGACUUUGGAAAGAGAGUUAAACAGUACGUGAAAUUGUUGAAAGGGAAGCGCUUGCAACCAGACUUGCGCGGGGUUGAUCAUCCGGGGUUCUCCCCGGUGCACUCGGCCUCGCUCAGGCCAGCAUCGGUUUCGGUGGUUGGAUAAAGGCCUUGGGAAUGUGGCUCCUCUCGGGGAGUGUUAUAGCCCUCGGUGCAAUGCAGCCUACUGGGACCGAGGACCGCGCUUCGGCUAGGAUGCUGGCGUAAUGGUUGUAAGCGACCCGUCUUGAAACACGGACCAAGGAGUCUAACAUCUAUGCGAGUGUUUGGGUGUCAAACCCAUACGCGUAAUGAAAGUGAACGGAGGUGAGAACCCUUAAGGGUGCAUCAUCGACCGAUCCUGAUGUCUUCGGAUGGAUUUGAGUAGGAGCAUAGCUGUUGGGACCCGAAAGAUGGUGAACUAUGCCUGAAUAGGGUGAAGCCAGAGGAAACUCUGGUGGAGGCUCGCAGCGGUUCUGACGUGCAAAUCGAUCGUCAAAUUUGGGUAUAGGGGCGAAAGACUAAUCGAACCAUCUAGUAGCUGGUU